RNAcentral lists this ribosomal RNA (465 nucleotides) under Vreelandella stevensii. RNAcentral describes it as "partial 16S ribosomal RNA". It matches the Rfam family "Bacterial small subunit ribosomal RNA", at positions 338 to 795 of the family's 1533-position model. Lineage: Bacteria; Pseudomonadati; Pseudomonadota; Gammaproteobacteria; Oceanospirillales; Halomonadaceae. The record is from RNAcentral.
CCUACGGGUGGCAGCAGUGGGGAAUAUUGGACAAUGGGCGAAAGCCUGAUCCAGCCAUGCCGCGUGUGUGAAGAAGGCCUUCGGGUUGUAAAGCACUUUCAGUGGGGAAGAAAGCCUUGGGGCUAAUACCCUCGAGGAAGGACAUCACCCACAGAAGAAGCACCGGCUAACUCCGUGCCAGCAGCCGCGGUAAUACGGAGGGUGCGAGCGUUAAUCGGAAUUACUGGGCGUAAAGCGCGCGUAGGCGGUCUGAUAAGUCGGUUGUGAAAGCCCCGGGCUCAACCUGGGAACGGCAUCCGGAACUGUCAGGCUAGAGUGCAGGAGAGGAAGGUAGAAUUCCCGGUGUAGCGGUGAAAUGCGUAGAGAUCGGGAGGAAUACCAGUGGCGAAGGCGGCCUUCUGGACUGACACUGACGCUGAGGUGCGAAAGCGUGGGUAGCAAACAGGAUUAGAUACCCGUGUAGUC